RNAcentral lists this unclassified non-coding RNA (219 nucleotides) under soil metagenome. Its description in RNAcentral is "partial contains 5.8S ribosomal RNA, internal transcribed spacer 2, and large subunit ribosomal RNA". The record is from RNAcentral.
AACAUCGCGCACCUGCGGGAACCUGCGGAAGGAUCAUUACACAAUUAAAAUAUGAAGGCUUCGGCUGGAUUAUUUUUAUCACCCUUGUCUUUUGCGCACUUGUUGUUUCCUGGGCGGGUUCGCCCGCCACCAGGACCACACCAUAAACCUUUUUUAUGCAGUUGCAAUCAGCGUCAGUAUAACAAAUGUAAAUCAUUUACAACUUUUAACAAUGGAUCU